This 119-nucleotide small nucleolar RNA is filed under the name Castor canadensis (American beaver). RNAcentral describes it as "Small nucleolar RNA SNORA51 (ENSCCNG00000025724.1)". It matches the Rfam family "Small nucleolar RNA SNORA51". From Rfam's summary of the family: ACA51 is a member of the H/ACA class of snoRNA that guide the sites of modification of uridines to pseudouridines. Lineage: Eukaryota; Metazoa; Chordata; Mammalia; Rodentia; Castoridae. The record is from Rfam by way of RNAcentral.
GGCCUCCUGGUGCUUACCACAGGUUGUGUUCAUAUACAGGAGACAAAGUAAACCUAUUCCAUAUAUACACCUCAGCCCAGGCUCUGUGCCUGGUCUAUACUGUGAAUGGGAAGACAUGA